Non-coding RNA from Phrynosoma platyrhinos (Desert horned lizard), 71 nucleotides. Lineage: Eukaryota; Metazoa; Chordata; Lepidosauria; Squamata; Phrynosomatidae. The record is from the annotation of a GenBank genome assembly.
GCCAACAUGGUGUAAUGGUUUGGGUGUUAAACUUCAUCUCUAGAGAUCAGGGUUCGAUUCCCCACUUGGCC